Molecule: ribosomal RNA, 253 nt
Filed under: uncultured bacterium
Lineage: Bacteria
Description: partial 16S ribosomal RNA
Rfam family: Bacterial small subunit ribosomal RNA
Source: RNAcentral
UACAGAGGGGGCAAGCGUUGUUCGGAAUUACUGGGCGUAAAGGGCGCGUAGGCGGCCUUCUAAGUCGAACGUGAAAUCCCUGGGCUCAACCCAGGAACUGCGUCCGAUACUGGAAGGCUUGAAUCCGGGAGAGGAUAGUAGAAUUCCAGGUGUAGUGGUGAAAUACGUAGAUAUCUGGAGGAAUACCGGUGGCGAAGGCGGCUAUCUGGCCAAACAUUGACGCUGAGAGACGAAAGCGUGGGUAGCAAACAGG